RNAcentral lists this ribosomal RNA (253 nucleotides) under uncultured bacterium. RNAcentral describes it as "partial 16S ribosomal RNA". It matches the Rfam family "Bacterial small subunit ribosomal RNA", at positions 524 to 776 of the family's 1533-position model. The record is from RNAcentral.
GACGGAGGGUGCAAGCGUUACUCGGAAUCACUGGGCGUAAAGGGCGCGUAGGCGGCCUAGCAAGUCUGGUGUGAAAGCCCAGGGCGCAACCCUGGAAGGGCACUGGAAACUGUUAGGCUUGAGUUCCGGAGAGGAGGGGGGAAUUCCCGGUGUAGCGGUGAAAUGCGUAGAUAUCGGGAGGAAUACCGGUGGCGAAGGCGCCCCUCUGGCCGGAAACUGACGCUGAGGCGCGAAAGCGUGGGGAGCAAACAGG